RNAcentral lists this ribosomal RNA (1372 nucleotides) under uncultured bacterium. RNAcentral describes it as "bacterial SSU rRNA". It matches the Rfam family "Bacterial small subunit ribosomal RNA", at positions 28 to 1381 of the family's 1533-position model. The record is from RNAcentral.
GAUGAACGCUGGCGGCGUGCCUAAUACAUGCAAGUCGAGCGAACGGACGAGAAGCUUGCUUCUCUGAUGUUAGCGGCGGACGGGUGAGUAACACGUGGAUAACCUACCUAUAAGACUGGGAUAACUUCGGGAAACCGGAGCUGAUACCGGAUAAUAUUUUGAACCGCAUGGUUCAAAAGUGAAAGACGGUCUUGCUGUCACUUAUAGAUGGAUCCGCGCUGCAUUAGCUAGUUGGUAAGGUAACGGUUUACCAAGGCAACGAUGCAUAGCCGACCUGAGAGGGUGAUCGGCCACACUGGAACUGAGACACGGUCCAGACUCCUACGGGAGGCAGCAGUAGGGAAUCUUCCGCAAUGGGCGAAAGCCUGACGGAGCAACGCCGCGUGAGUGAUGAAGGUCUUCGGAUCGUAAAACUCUGUUAUUAGGGAAGAACAUAUGUGUAAGUAACUGUGCACAUCUUGACGGUACCUAAUCAGAAAGCCACGGCUAACUACGUGCCAGCAGCCGCGGUAAUACGUAGGUGGCAAGCGUUAUCCGGAAUUAUUGGGCGUAAAGCGCGCGUAGGCGGUUUUUUAAGUCUGAUGUGAAAGCCCACGGCUCAACCGUGGAGGGUCAUUGGAAACUGGAAAACUUGAGUGCAGAAGAGGAAAGUGGAAUUCCAUGUGUAGCGGUGAAAUGCGCAGAGAUAUGGAGGAACACCAGUGGCGAAGGCGACUUUCUGGUCUGUAACUGACGCUGAUGUGCGAAAGCGUGGGGAUCAAACAGGAUUAGAUACCCUGGUAGUCCACGCCGUAAACGAUGAGUGCUAAGUGUUAGGGGGUUUCCGCCCCUUAGUGCUGCAGCUAACGCAUUAAGCACUCCGCCUGGGGAGUACGACCGCAAGGUUGAAACUCAAAGGAAUUGACGGGGACCCGCACAAGCGGUGGAGCAUGUGGUUUAAUUCGAAGCAACGCGAAGAACCUUACCAAAUCUUGACAUCCUUUGACAACUCUAGAGAUAGAGCUUUCCCCUUCGGGGGACAAAGUGACAGGUGGUGCAUGGUUGUCGUCAGCUCGUGUCGUGAGAUGUUGGGUUAAGUCCCGCAACGAGCGCAACCCUUAAGCUUAGUUGCCAUCAUUAAGUUGGGCACUCUAAGUUGACUGCCUGUGACAAACCGGAGGAAGGUGGGGAUGACGUCAAAUCAUCAUGCCCCUUAUGAUUUGGGCUACACACGUGCUACAAUGGACAAUACAAAGGGCAGCGAAACCGUGAGGUCAAGCAAAUCCCAUAAAGUUGUUCUCAGUUCGGAUUGUAGUCUGCAACUCGACUACAUGAAGCUGGAAUCGCUAGUAAUCGUAGAUCAGCAUGCUACGGUGAAUACGUUCCCGGGUCU